AACGGGUGAGUAACAUUUAGGAAUCUACCUUUUAGUGGGGGAUAGCUCGGGGAAACUCGAAUUAAUACCGCAUACGACCUACGGGUGAAAGGGGGCGCGAGCUCUUGCUAGGAGAUGAGCCUAAAUCAGAUUAGCUAGUUGGUGGGGUAAAGGCUUACCAAGGCGACGAUCUGUAACUGGUCUGAGAGGAUGAUCAGUCACACCGGAACUGAGACACGGUCCGGACUCCUACGGGAGGCAGCAGUGGGGAAUAUUGGACAAUGGGGGGAACCCUGAUCCACCCAUGCCGCGUGUGUGAAGAAGGCCUUUUGGUUGUAAAGCACUUUNNNCAGGGAGGAGAGGCUAAUGGUUAANACCCAUUAGACNAGACGUUNCCUGCANAAUAAGCACCGNNUAACUCUGUGCCAGCANCCGCGGUAAUACANANGGUGCNAGCGUUANUCNAANUUNCUGGGCGUAAAGCGAGUGUAGGUGGCUCAUUNAGUCACAUGUGAAAUCCCCGGGCUCAACCUGCGAACUGNCAUGUGAUACUGGUGGUGCUAGAAUAUGUGAGAGGGAAGUAGAAUUCCAGGUGUAGCGGUGAAAUGCGUAGAGAUCUGGAGGAAUACCGAUGGCGAAGGCAGCUUCCUGGCAUAAUAUUGACACUGAGAUUCGAAAGCGUGGGUAGCAAACAGGAUUAGAUACCCUGGUAGUCCACGCCCAUAAACGAUGUCUACUAGCCGUUGGGGUCCUUGAGACUUUAGUGGCGCAGUUAACGCGAUAAGUAGACCGCCUGGGGAGUACGGCCGCAAGGUUAAAACUCAAAUGAAUUGACGGGGGCCCGCACAAGCGGUGGAGCAUGUGGUUUAAUUCGAUGCAACGCGAAGAACCUUACCUGGUCUUGACAUAGUGAGAAUCUUUCAGAGAUGAGAGAGUGCCUUCGGGAAUUCACAUACAGGUGCUGCAUGGCUGUCGUCAGCUCGUGUCGUGAGAUGUUGGGUUAAGUCCCGCAACGAGCGCAACCCUUUUCCUUAUUUGCCAGCGAGUUAAGUCGGGAACUUUAAGGAUACUGCCAGUGACAAACUGGAGGAAGGCGGGGACGACGUCAAGUCAUCAUGGCCCUUACGACCAGGGCUACACACGUGCUACAAUGGUAGGUACAGAGGGUUGCUACACAGCGAUGUGAUGCUAAUCUCAAAAAGCCUAU
Molecule: ribosomal RNA, 1186 nt
Filed under: gamma proteobacterium RBE2CD-102
Lineage: Bacteria; Pseudomonadati; Pseudomonadota; Gammaproteobacteria
Description: bacterial SSU rRNA
Rfam family: Bacterial small subunit ribosomal RNA
Source: RNAcentral